Molecule: non-coding RNA, 179 nt
Filed under: Mariprofundaceae bacterium
Lineage: Bacteria; Pseudomonadati; Pseudomonadota; Candidatius Mariprofundia; Mariprofundales; Mariprofundaceae
Description: 6S RNA
Rfam family: 6S / SsrS RNA
About the family: E. coli 6S RNA was the first non coding RNA to be sequenced, but its function was unknown until recently. It consists of 184 nucleotides that fold into an extended hairpin structure with a large single-stranded internal bulge.
Source: RNAcentral
AUGCCCCUGCGCUGAGCGAACAACCUUAUGUUGCCUGAGCCGAUGCGUGUUGAAUGGGAGCUUGACUACGUCAAUGGUGUGAAUCCUACUCGUUUAGGAUACCUAAAGUUGGUGUGCGGCGCCCCCCUCCUUUUAGAGGGUUCGACAACUUACCGUGAUUACGCCAGUGCGGGGGUACU